This 263-nucleotide unclassified non-coding RNA is filed under the name plant metagenome. RNAcentral's name for it is "partial contains small subunit ribosomal RNA, internal transcribed spacer 1, and 5.8S ribosomal RNA". The record is from RNAcentral.
UUUCCGUAGGUGAACCUGCGGAAGGAUCAUUAUUGUAUAACCGAGGUGCGAGGGCUGUCGCUGACCCGAAAGGUCGUGCACGCCCGAGUGCCCUCACACACAUCCAUCUCACCCCUAUGUGCACCACCGCGUGGGUACCCCUUUGGCUUGUUCGGAGGGGGGCUUACGUUUUCACACAAACUUUGUAUGCAGAGUAGAAUGUAUUUUUUGUUUUUGCGAUCACGCAAUCAAUACAACUUUCAACAACGGAUCUCUUGGCUCUC